CUAUUCGAAACCUUCAGUAGCUCCACCACACUGUACAAUCUCAGACAACCAGCACAGGAACUUUUAUGAAACACUUUUCAUUUGGCAACAACCCGUAAUGUUUUGACACCAUUACAUUUCUAUAUACAACUGUCAGUAACUCGAAAUUUGACAUGUUGUUUUAUCUAUCAAAUGAACUGUCAACCACUACUUAAAUAUAUUCUUCAACUAUCACUAAUAUAAUUUUGCAAGUCAAAUUAAUAUCUUAAACACCAUAAUUAAAAUAAUACAAGAAACCCACUUUGCAGAAGCAUGUCAAGAAAUGAUAGAUUCCUCAGCAAAAACAAACAGAGUUAAUAGUACAACAGCUCCAGCAUGCAGUACAAGCUCACCCCCACGAAGAACAACACAUAAGCAAUGUCAGUUUAAUCGAAUAUGGAUAUAAUUAUUGAACCGCUAAAGAGUCAGGUUUUCAAGAGAAAUUUACAAAACCUGAGAGAAUGAAGGGGAUGACGCAAGGCUGGUGGAGUUGUAGCUAUGAAAUUUGAUGCCUUUAUGAAACCCAAAGCUUUUACUAUUGAAGGGCCUCUGCAAAAUCACAUCUUUCAAUGAGUAGAGAGGGAAAAAAAAGGAGAGAGUGGGAGUGGGGAGAGUAAAAUGUACCGCAAAAGGGUGAGAGAGUUUAUCAUAGCAGCCAUGGAAGUGAGAGAAAACGAAAACGCUGCAAUUAAUUGGUCUAACAGAUGAAAUUGAAGAAAAUCUAAGGGUCUCUGAGCAAUUACUUUUAUUGCGUAAUUUCCAUGAUUAUAAUUUUAUACGUUUCACAGCCGUGGAUCGUACGGCAAUUUUUUUUUUUA
This 836-nucleotide long non-coding RNA is filed under the name Nicotiana tabacum (common tobacco). RNAcentral describes it as "long non-coding RNA (NTAB_LNC011973)". The record is from RNAcentral. Lineage: Eukaryota; Viridiplantae; Streptophyta; Magnoliopsida; Solanales; Solanaceae.